Molecule: long non-coding RNA, 418 nt
Organism: Onychomys torridus (southern grasshopper mouse)
Lineage: Eukaryota; Metazoa; Chordata; Mammalia; Rodentia; Cricetidae
Exons: 3
Source: RefSeq, a predicted model, not a curated record
GAAUGCCUCCCUGGCCUCCCUCCUGCUGCCAGCUUAAUCAGCCACAGGCAGUGAGGAGAAGGGAUUUCUGGGAAGGCCAGGAGUCUACAAAUGCCCACCUUUUGGAAGUGAAGCAAGGCUCGCUCGACAGCUUGACGGUCACAGUUCCCUGAGUACCAAGGCUGACCCAGAAGGCUUCCAUCCUAUAUAACACACAGAGCUACUCAGAGAUGUCUUCCAGCACUGGCCCAGCACCCUGGGAGGACAGUCCUUGCAUGAUUUCCAAAUGAGAACUGAUCUUGGGACACACACUGGCAGCCUCCCAAUUUAGGAAAUGGGAAACGCCCAAGAGGAUCCUCUCAGGCCUGAUCUUGGCAGAGUCAGAGCUGCAAGGACCCCCUUGAUGAGGGUUUCUCGUAUAGCUUUGGCUGUCCUGGAC